This 341-nucleotide unclassified non-coding RNA is filed under the name Hevea brasiliensis (rubber tree). The record is from RNAcentral. Lineage: Eukaryota; Viridiplantae; Streptophyta; Magnoliopsida; Malpighiales; Euphorbiaceae.
GGGUUAACUGAAACUGAAUAAGUUCAUUUCUUUGGUUGUCAAGUUGAAUAUUAACAUAAUCCUCGGUGUCAUCGAUGUAUUCCCUAACCGAUAAUAUCCUGUUACGAGUCCCAUCCAACUGCAUAAAGUAUGCCUCGAGCAACAUCUCCAAGUCCUCUACGUCAUUAUCAUCCAAAAGGUUGCUGGUCACCACACUGCCACUCCUGGUGGAACUAAGUAGACGAAGAUGAGGAACGAUAGCAGUCGUGCUGUUGGAAGCCACACCUCCCGGCAAAGCAUCAAAUUGUUGAUUCUGCAUCCAUUUCCUUGUCAAAUAUAGUUGUGCCAUAUCUUCAUUAUCA